Molecule: ribosomal RNA, 652 nt
Filed under: uncultured bacterium
Lineage: Bacteria
Description: bacterial SSU rRNA
Rfam family: Bacterial small subunit ribosomal RNA
Source: RNAcentral
AGCUGCCGCUGGGGGAUGGGCUCGCGCCCCAUUAGCUAGUUGGUAGGGUAACGGCCUACCAAGGCAACGAUGGGUAGCUGGUCUGAGAGGACGAUCAGCCACACUGGAACUGAGACACGGUCCAGACUCCUACGGGAGGCAGCAGUGGGGAAUAUUGCACAAUGGGGGAAACCCUGAUGCAGCAACGCCGCGUGCGGGAUGAAGGCCUUCGGGUCGUAAACCGCUGUCAGGGGGGAAGAAAUCGCUCCGGUGAAUAGCCGGAGUGGAUAACGGUACCCCCAGAGGAAGCCCCGGCUAACUCCGUGCCAGCAGCCGCGGUAAGACGGAGGGGGCGAGCGUUGUUCGGAAUCAUUGGGCGUAAAGCGCGCGUAGGCGGUCGAGUAAGUCGGACGUGAAAGCCCAGGGCUCAACCCUGGAAGUGCGUUCGAUACUGCACGACUUGAGUACGGGAGAGGAGAGUGGAAUUCCCAGUGUAGCGGUGAAAUGCGUAGAUAUUGGGAGGAACACCAGUGGCGAAGGCGGCUCUCUGGACCGUCACUGACGCUGAGGCGCGAAAGCUAGGGGAGCAAACGGGAUUAGAUACCCCGGUAGUCCUAGCCGUAACGAUGGGCACUAGGUGUUGGGGGUAUUGACCCCUCCAGUGCCGGAGCUA